Molecule: ribosomal RNA, 726 nt
Filed under: uncultured bacterium
Lineage: Bacteria
Description: bacterial SSU rRNA
Rfam family: Bacterial small subunit ribosomal RNA
Source: RNAcentral
GGGAUAACACUUGGAAACAGGUGCUAAUACCGUAUAACACUAUUUUCCGCAUGGAAGAAAGUUGAAAGGCGCUUUUGCGUCACUGAUGGAUGGACCGCGGUGCAUUAGCUAGUUGGUGAGGUAACGGCUCACCAAGGCCACGAUGCAUAGCCGACCUGAGAGGGUGAUCGGCCACACUGGGACUGAGACACGGCCCAGACUCCUACGGGAGGCAGCAGUAGGGAAUCUUCGGCAAUGGACGAAAGUCUGACCGAGCAACGCCGCGUGAGUGAAGAAGGUUUUCGGAUCGUAAAACUCUGUUGUUAGAGAAGAACAAGGAUGAGAGUAAAAUGUUCAUCCCUUGACGGUAUCUAACCAGAAAGCCACGGCUAACUACGUGCCAGCAGCCGCGGUAAUACGUAGGUGGCAAGCGUUGUCCGGAUUUAUUGGGCGUAAAGCGAGCGCAGGCGGUUUCUUAAGUCUGAUGUGAAAGCCCCCGGCUCGACCGGGGAGGGUCAUUGGAAACUGGGAGACUUAAGUGCAGAAGAGGAGAGUGGAAUUCCAUGUGUAGCGGUGAAAUGCGUAGAUAUAUGGAGGAACACCAGUGGCGAAGGCGGCUCUCUGGUCUGUAACUGACGCUGAGGCUCGAAAGCGUGGGGAGCGAACAGGAUUAGAUACCCUGGUAGUCCACGCCGUAAACGAUGAGUGAUAAGUGUUGGAGGGUUUCCGCCCUUCAGUGCUGCAGCA